GGUAACAUUUCUAGCUUGCUAGAAGAUGACGAGUGGCGGACGGGUGAGUAAUGCUUGGGAACUUGCCUUUAGGAGGGGGAUAACAGUUGGAAACGACUGCUAAUACCGCAUAAUGUCUACGGACCAAAGGGGGCUUCGGCUCUCACCUAAAGAGAGGCCCAAGUGAGAUUAGCUAGUUGGUAAGGUAAAGGCUUACCAAGGCGACGAUCUCUAGCUGUUCUGAGAGGAAGAUCAGCCACACUGGGACUGAGACACGGCCCAGACUCCUACGGGAGGCAGCAGUGGGGAAUAUUGCACAAUGGGGGAAACCCUGAUGCAGCCAUGCCGCGUGUGUGAAGAAGGCCUUCGGGUUGUAAAGCACUUUCAGUUGUGAGGAAAGGUUGGUAGUUAAUACCUGCCAGCUGUGACGUUAACAACAGAAGAAGCACCGGCUAACUCCGUGCCAGCAGCCGCGGUAAUACGGAGGGUGCGAGCGUUAAUCGGAAUUACUGGGCGUAAAGCGCACGCAGGCGGUUUGUUAAGCUAGAUGUGAAAGCCCCGGGCUCAACCUGGGAUGGUCAUUUAGAACUGGCAGACUAGAGUCUUGGAGAGGGGAGUGGAAUUCCAGGUGUAGCGGUGAAAUGCGUAGAUAUCUGGAGGAANAUCAGUGGCGAANNNGGCUCCCUGGCCAAAGACUGACGCUCAUGUGCGAAAGUGUGGGUAGCGAACAGGAUUANAUACCCUGGNAGUCCACACCGUAAACGCUGUCUACUAGCUGNUUGUG
This 763-nucleotide ribosomal RNA is filed under the name Pseudoalteromonas sp. SC1. RNAcentral describes it as "bacterial SSU rRNA". It matches the Rfam family "Bacterial small subunit ribosomal RNA", at positions 68 to 828 of the family's 1533-position model. Lineage: Bacteria; Pseudomonadati; Pseudomonadota; Gammaproteobacteria; Alteromonadales; Pseudoalteromonadaceae. The record is from RNAcentral.